CCUCCACCCACUGCCGCCCGGGUUCUGUGCCCCUUCCGCUUCCUUGGCCUCGGCAGCUCUGCAUGGCCACAUUCUGCCUGCCGUCGCCCCCUGAGGCUCCUUCACUGGCUCUCAGUGUGACUCGUUGCUCAGUGUCAGCCUUGGCGAUGCCCUGAGCGCGUCCCCCAACCUCAACUAUCAGGGAACGUGAUGGCCCAGGCGACAGUGUUGGGAGGCGGAGCCUAAUGAGGUGACUUGUGGCAUUGCUGUGGGGUGGGCUAGUUACGGAGAGGGUGGCUUGCUUUAGAGGUGAGCUGGCCUCCCUUGCCCUCUACAUUCGGCUGUUGGAAGACGCUGCACAACACCAAGAGGCAGACAACCACCCUGUGCUCUGGGUCUCCCCAGGCUCCAGGCUCUUCAGACACUCGCUCAGGUGCUCAGUUAAAAAGCAGCUGAAGAUGGCGGGCGACAGUGUUCCUCACGGCCUUCCUGUUGCCUCUGUGACUCACCCCAGUUCUCUGCACAGUGACCUUUGUCCCUGUGUCUUCAAGUCUUUUUCCCCCCAAGAAACUUCUGUUUCUAUAGUAAUUAAAGUGUCUUAUAAUUAUUGUAAUCACGACAAUAUCCACAUGCAUUAGACUUAUCAAAUAUUGUCACAUACUUUAUUUGCUUUGAUUCUCAUGCACCCCUGUGUGAUGGAAAAUUCAAGAACUAUCAGUACUAUUUAACAAAGAAGAAAAUGAAUGUCAGGAAGAUUACAGCACUGGCACCCAGGUCUGCCUGGCCCCCUGUGGUGGCCAUCAGGGGAGACCCUGGCUGUGGGCAGAGCAGGGGAGGAUGGCCAGGGGUCCCAGGGAAAACCACGGCUACAGCAUCCUGUGUCCAUGUCCACAGAUGUCCGAGGACUCACUGCAGAAGCCACACACAGGUGGCCACUGUGCCCAGUGGUGAGGUGCCUGGCUCCCCGUCACUCACAGCUCAGAGUGCCUGGGGAGGAAGAGUCGGAGCCUGCUCUCAAGGCUCCCCCAGCUGGGGGUGGUGAGGUCCCUGGCCCCCACGGACUCAACAGGGAAGAAUGGAC
This 1060-nucleotide long non-coding RNA is filed under the name Marmota monax (woodchuck). Lineage: Eukaryota; Metazoa; Chordata; Mammalia; Rodentia; Sciuridae. The record is from RNAcentral.